NNNNGCUUGGGAUUAACUAAAGAUAAAGAUGAAACAGCUGGAAGGGGUCUGUAGUCGAAAAAAGGGAAAAAGAUUACUAAGCAAGAGAUUUAGACCGAGCUGGAUGAGCGACCGACUCAAAGGGGCGAUUAGGAAAAAACAGAAAGCGUACAAAGAGUGGAAGAGGGGAGGGAUCAGUAAGGAAACUUACCUCAGCGAAGUCAGAGAAUGUAGAGAUAGAGUGAGAAAGGCCAAAGGCCGUGUAGAGUUGGACCUAGCGAGGGGAAUUAAAAGCAAUAGUAAAAGGUUUUACAGUCAUAUAAAUAGGAAGAAAGCAAAGAAAGAAGAAGUAGGACCGCUGAAGACUAUAGCCGGAGAGGAGAUUAAAGAUAAUCUAGGGAUGGCGCAAUAUCUCAAUGAAUAUUUUGCAUCGGUGUUUAAUGAGGCCUAUGAAGGUAUUAGGGAUACUAGCACCAUUACAGAGGGGCAUACAGGAUGGGGGCUUACAGUAUCCGAGGUAGAAAAAAAACUUGAACACCUUAAUGGGACUAAGUCGGGAGGACCGGACGAUCUUCAUCCGAGAAUAUUGAAGGAAUUGGCGCGGGAAAUAGCAGGCCCAUUAGCGAUAAUAUUUAAUGAAUCUGUAAACUCGGGGGUGGUCCCGUUAGACUGGAGAAUAGCUAAUGUGGUUCCUAUUGUCAAGAAAGGGAAAAAAAGUGAUCCGGGUAACUACAGGCCUGUUAGAGAAAAUUCUGAAAGAGAAACUAACACCUUGCACACUACAGAUGUUAAACUAACAGGCCUGUAGUUACUAUUCUCCAGUCUAACGGGACCACCCCCGAGUUUACAGAUUCAUUAAAUAUUAUCGCUAAUGGGCCUGCUAUUUCCCGCGCCAAUUCCUUCAAUAUUCUCGGAUGAAGAUCGUCCGGUCCUCCCGACUUAGCCCCAUUAAGGUGUUCGCAUCCCUCUGCUGCUCCGGGUGCAAGGGCGCCAGAUCCUGCUCUUGCCUGAGUUAUUAGUUU
RNAcentral lists this long non-coding RNA (1001 nucleotides) under Chrysemys picta bellii (western painted turtle). Its description in RNAcentral is "lncRNA (ENSCPBG00000000827.1)". Lineage: Eukaryota; Metazoa; Chordata; Testudines; Emydidae. The record is from RNAcentral.